UACGUAGGUGGCAAGCGUUGUCCGGAUUUACUGGGCGUAAAGAGCGCGCAGGCGGCUGGUCAAGUCCGAUGUGAAAUCUCCCGGCUUAACUGGGAAACUGCAUCGGAAACUGAUCGGCUUGAAGGUGGGAGAGGGUAGUGGAAUUCCCGGUGUAGUGGUGAAAUGCGUAGAUAUCGGGGAGGAACACCGGUGGCGAAGGCGGUUCUCUGGGCCUGUACUGACGCUGAGGAGCGAAAGCGUGGGGAGCAAACAGG
RNAcentral lists this ribosomal RNA (254 nucleotides) under uncultured bacterium. RNAcentral's name for it is "partial 16S ribosomal RNA". It matches the Rfam family "Bacterial small subunit ribosomal RNA", at positions 524 to 776 of the family's 1533-position model. The record is from RNAcentral.